RNAcentral lists this unclassified non-coding RNA (200 nucleotides) under soil metagenome. RNAcentral's name for it is "partial contains internal transcribed spacer 2 and large subunit ribosomal RNA". The record is from RNAcentral.
UGCCCGUUCGAGCGUCAUUAACACCCAUCAAGCCUGGCUUGGUAUUGGGCGUCGGGACCUCCCCGCGCCCCGAUUUCGCCGGCUGGACGACCCCGAUCUCAAGCGUUGUGAUGAAUCUCGCUGGAGGGACGGGCGGCCACGCCGUUAACCUCGUAAUCAAAGUUGACCUCGGAUCGGGUAGGAAUACCCGCUGAACUUAA